RNAcentral lists this ribosomal RNA (253 nucleotides) under uncultured bacterium. RNAcentral describes it as "partial 16S ribosomal RNA". It matches the Rfam family "Bacterial small subunit ribosomal RNA", at positions 524 to 776 of the family's 1533-position model. The record is from RNAcentral.
UACGUAGGCAGCGAGCGUUGUUCGGAAUUACUGGGCGUAAAGAGUGUGUAGGCGGUGCUCUAAGUUUGGUGUGAAAUCUCCCGGCUCAACCGGGAGGGUGCGCCGAAAACUGGGAGGCUAGAGUGCGGGAUGGGAGAGUGGAAUUCCUGGUGUAGCGGUGAAAUGCGUAGAUAUCAGGAGGAACACCGGUGGUGCAGACGGCUCUCUGGACCGUAACUGACGCUGAGACACGAAAGCGUGGGUAGCAAACAGG